AGUAAAUAGAUACCCUGGUAGUCCACGCCCUAAACUAUGUCAACUAGUUGUCGGGCCUUAAUAGGCUUGGUAAACGUAGCUAAACGCGUGAAAGUUGACCGCCUGGGGAGUACGGUCGCAAGAUUAAAACUCAAAGGAAUUGACGGGGACCCGGCACAAGCGGUGGAUUAUGUGGAUUAAUUCGAUGCAACGCGAAAAACCUUAACCUACCCUUGACAUGUCAGAAAAUUUUACUAGAGAUGAAUUUGUGCCCGAAACGGGAAUCUGAACACAGGUGCUGCAUGGCUGUCGUCAGCUCGUGUCGUGAGAUGUUGGGUUAAGUCCCGCAACGAGCGCAACCCUUGUCAUUAAUUGCCAUCAUUUGGUUGGGCACUUUAAUGAGACUGCCGGUGAUAAACCGGAGGAAGGUGGGGAUGACGUCAAGUCCUCAUGGCCCUUAUGGGUAGGGCUUCACACGUAAUACAAUGGCGCGUACAGAGGGUUGCCAACCCGCGAGGGGGUAGCUAAUCUCAGAAAGCGCGUCGUAGUCCGGGAUCGGAGUCUGCAACUCGACUCCGU
RNAcentral lists this ribosomal RNA (558 nucleotides) under uncultured bacterium. RNAcentral describes it as "bacterial SSU rRNA". It matches the Rfam family "Bacterial small subunit ribosomal RNA", at positions 774 to 1321 of the family's 1533-position model. The record is from RNAcentral.